Non-coding RNA from Danio rerio (zebrafish), 886 nucleotides. NCBI's taxonomy places the organism in Eukaryota, Metazoa, Chordata, Actinopteri, Cypriniformes, Danionidae. The record is from RefSeq and is a predicted model, not a curated record.
AUCCCAAGGUUCACUGCGGUUUUCCACAAGCCUGUUUCUGCCUAUCACCAUGAGUGAUUCCUUUAUACUCAUAUUUAUCAUCAAGAUCUCAAUUAUAAGCUCAAGUCUUGAUGACAACUUGAUGAUCUGCAGGAAGCACCACCAUGUAAGGAAGGCCAAGACCACUCUGGAAUCAGUCAAGGGUGAAAUGGAGUGAGGCAUACCAGGAUAUGCCUGGUUUUACUCUUGGGAUGGAGGUUGAACAGUGCAAUAUUUCUUCUAUAGGAUUGCAGUGACCAGACAUGCUACUGUAACUCUCAUGGUCAUGUGCUGGAAUUAGCAGAUAUUCAACAGUUUGGCCAUCUUGCUGACCUAUUGAUAUCAGAAGACCGAAACAGCUCUGCAAAGCAAGUUGGAAAACAGAAUCCACGAAACUGGCAGUGACCGGAAACCAGUUGGAAGACUUUGGUCUGUGACGUAGAGGAGUGGGCAGAGGUAGCAGAAGCGAAGACAACAAAAAACAGAAGUGAUAUGGAUGUCUUCGUCAUAUGGCAUGACUCUGCUGACCCAGCAACAAAGAGGAGGGUGUUCAACAUCAUCCUGCUAGUCAGGAUUCUUCAGGAGCAGUGGAUUCUUGUGGCAGAGAUGGCCAACCACUAUAAAUACCUUUCAACUAAUCCUGGUUCCUUCAAAGAACUUUCCUGCUUGUUUGCUACUGAAAAAUUCGACAUGUGGCCUAAACGAAGAGGGGUUAAAAGGUCUAUGGAUCAUCAUUCUCAGAAAGCAACAAAAUAUCUGAGAAAUAAACAACAAUACGAUGGUGCAAUCUGGAGACCUGCAAGGUACCUGCAAGUUUUGGCUGGAGCAGAGAACAUAGAUUUUUUAAAUAAAGCUCCAGCUGAUGAGU